This 293-nucleotide ribosomal RNA is filed under the name uncultured bacterium. Its description in RNAcentral is "partial 16S ribosomal RNA". It matches the Rfam family "Bacterial small subunit ribosomal RNA", at positions 505 to 796 of the family's 1533-position model. The record is from RNAcentral.
GUGUCAGCAGCCGCGGUAAUACGGAGGGUGCAAGCGUUAUCCGGAAUCACUGGGUUUAAAGGGUGCGUAGGCGGUGGCGUAAGUCAGUUGUGAAAUUCCCCGGCUUAACCGGCGGGACUGCGAUUGAUACUGCGUCACUUGAAUCAGGAUGAGGUAGGCGGAAUGUGACAUGUAGCGGUGAAAUGCUUAGAUAUGUCAUAGAACACCGAUUGCGAAGGCAGCUUGCUGGACCUGUAUUGACGCUGAGGCACGAAAGCGUGGGGAGCAAACAGGAUUAGAUACCCCCGUAGUCC